CCUACGGGUGGCAGCAGUGGGGAAUAUUGCACAAUGGGGGGAACCCUGAUGCAGCGACGCCGCGUGGGUGAAGAAGUAAUUCGUUAUGUAAAGCUCUAUCAGCAGGGAAGAAAAUGACGGUACCUGAGUUACAAACCCCCGCUAACGACGGUCCAGCCGCCGCGGUAAUACGUAGGGGGCAAGCGUUAUCCGGAUUUACUUGGUGUAAAGGGAGCGUAGACGGCAGUGCAAGUCUGGAGUGAAAGGCGGGGGCUCAACCCCCGGACUGCUCUGGAAACUGUAUGGCUGGAGUGCAGGAGAGGCAAGUGGAAUUCCUGGGGUAGCGGUGAAAUGCGUAGAUAUUAGGAGGAACACCAGCGGCGAAGGCGGCUGACUGGACUGUAACUGACGUUGAGGCUCGAAAGCGUGGGGAGCAAACAGGAUUAGAUACCCUUGUAGUC
This 440-nucleotide ribosomal RNA is filed under the name uncultured bacterium. RNAcentral describes it as "partial 16S ribosomal RNA". It matches the Rfam family "Bacterial small subunit ribosomal RNA", at positions 338 to 795 of the family's 1533-position model. The record is from RNAcentral.